This is a non-coding RNA of Plutella xylostella (diamondback moth), 1851 nucleotides long. The record is from RefSeq and is a predicted model, not a curated record. NCBI's taxonomy places the organism in Eukaryota, Metazoa, Arthropoda, Insecta, Lepidoptera, Plutellidae.
UAAUCAAAAGCCAUGUUUAGGCAAUGAAUGUAACAAUAACUGGAUGUGAUUUUAAAAUAGUUAUCAAUAUUUUGUAUGUGAAUUGUUUAAUGGACAAAAAAUAUAAUAAGUAAGUAUCACUAGAUUACAUACACAUUAGGUUUUACAUAGUUGCGUGUGGUCUGAUUAUAAAAUUUAUAGAAAUGCCUAUUGUUAUAAAUACUAUAAUUUUUGCUUCAAAUUCCCUGCCUAAGUUUUGUUCAGUACUUGUAGAAUUAAAAUUUAAAAAUAGCUGUACGGGAAUCGAUACCCUAACUAAAUAAAUAAAAAAAACAUGCAGAUAUUCUAACAGAAGAAACCUGUUAAAAUGAAUUACUAUUUUAUGUGUAGUUGUUAAUUAUAAAUAUAAUAAUGUUAUUUUAAUUUUUUAAUGCAAGUCUAGAAGAUGUAGGCCUUUCAUAUUUAAGUUGCUAUCUUGUUUAAAUGUUUAUUGUUAUAAGCAAAUACCAAGUGAUAACAAAAAUAUACAAUUAUAUACAAUAGGUAUUUUAUUUAUUUACUGCUUCAUGUAACUACCACUAUCUAUAUAGUUAGACUCAUAAAUGUUGAAACCAUCUGUUGCUAUUAUUUAAGUAAGUAUAUGGUAUUUCCGCUUCUGUAUUUUUAGUUAUCACUGUUGAAUGUACAUAGCCAAUAUAAAAUAGCACUUAAUACUAUAAGAAUUAUGCUGAGAUUAUUGUUAAUCUGUUUUGUAUCUUGAUGGGAAGUUUUGCAUUACCUAUUGACAUCCCAUGGGAUUGGAAAUUUGUCACAAUAAAAAUAUGUACUGCACGGCUAGUAUGGCCAUAAUAAGACAACAUGUGAAGUGACUGAUUAAAUUGAGUCACUUUUUGAUAUCAGUCUUAAAUGUUAGCAUAGGGUGUACAUGGGACUCAUUUUAUUUGUGUGAUUGGAUAUAAGCCACAGUGACACUGAAACUUUUCUGCUCUGUGGAAAUAUGUAUUUCAUUCGUUCUUUUUUUAGAAAAUCCCUCAUUUGUGGCUCUUGUUUGUAUUGUCUAUGGUUUUUUGACAAUUUAAAUGUCACCAAACGUCAAAUUUGAAGAAAAUUUUCGCUGUUUGGUGCGUUCGAGUGAAAUAUUUUGGUAAUAUUACCAUUGCAUUUUUGCAUUGCGCUACCCCAUGGACUCAUAUUGGCUCAUUAACUACUUUCUUGAGUUUCUUGGACAUCGUCACAUGAAAUAAUAUACGACCGAGCUUACUCCCGACCAAGCACGAUCAGAUUCCUUGGGAGUUCUUCGGCAGACGAUUUCUAUGCACCGGCUUCAUGAGACGAAGAACAAAACAGCAUGCCACCUGACUGAUGACCCACCCACCGUUUACCCGGCCCCAGGAGCUAGAAGGCCUUGAGACAAAAGCUCGGGCAGGAUCCUGACGGGCGCAACAGAAUAUCAUCUACGAUGCUUGUCCCACGGCCUGACUGAAUAAUAUUUAUAUAAUCAAUGGAAGGAAAAAACAGUAGAACAUUGAAAUUGGCUCGUAGGCAAGACGGAAGAUGGUCAAAACCGGUCAGAAAAUGAUGGCCUAGACACGGUUGGAGAGCUCUUGUUGGCAGUAACCACCUGAAGAUGGUCAGAUGACAUCAGCAACCUUGUGGUGAUACAAUGAACCGGAGCGGCACCGAACUGAAAAAGUUGAAAAACUUGGCAUACAUACUAUGAGACCUAUUUGAUGACUGAUAUAAGCCAAGUUCAGACAAAUUAUUGUGAUAGUUGAUAACUAAGAAUACCUAAUAUGCUUUUAUGGUGUGUGAAAUAGUAUACUUUUUAUAAUUUAUUAAUUAAAAGUUUAAUAAAUGUUUUACUUACCUAAA